UAUAAGACUGGGAUAACUUCGGGAAACCGGAGCUAAUACCGGAUAAUAUAUUGAACCGCAUGGUUCAAUAGUGAAAGACGGUUUUGCUGUCACUUAUAGAUGGAUCCGCGCUGCAUUAGCUAGUUGGUAAGGUAACGGCUUACCAAGGCAACGAUGCGUAGCCGACCUGAGAGGGUGAUCGGCCACACUGGAACUGAGACACGGUCCAGACUCCUACGGGAGGCAGCAGCC
Molecule: ribosomal RNA, 231 nt
Filed under: uncultured Staphylococcus sp.
Lineage: Bacteria; Bacillati; Bacillota; Bacilli; Caryophanales; Staphylococcaceae
Description: partial 16S ribosomal RNA
Rfam family: Bacterial small subunit ribosomal RNA
Source: RNAcentral